AUGAGAUGUGACUUAAUGUUGCCAAAGAAAUGGGAGUUGAGGUAAUGGGUGUCUCUUAUUAUUAUCAUUAUUAUUAUUAUUAUUUUUUAAGAUUUUAUUUAUUUAUUUGAGAGAAAGAGAGAGAGCAUGUAAGAGAGUGCAAGCAAGGGGAGCAGCAGAAGGAGAGAGAGAAGCGGGCUUCCCACUGAGCAUGAAGCCCCCUGUGGGGCUCAAUCCCAGGACACUGGGACCACGACCUGAGUUGAAGGCAGAUGCUUAACCAACUGAACCACCCAGCGUCCCAUGAGUGUCUCUCCUGAGAAGAGGCCUGUAAGUCCAGAACUUGACUCACCAUGUUCCCUCCUUCCUGUCACAGAGACUGAUGGCACUCCUGGGGGGAUCUUCCAUCAUCCUGCUCCCCUGAAUGAUGGUGACAUUGAGCAAAGCCUCGCUGAUCCAAGACCGGCAAGUGGCACGUGCCACAAACAGAUAACCUGGGCUGAUGCUAGACACUGAGUUUUGGGUUUAUUGAUUACCAGUCUAUCCUGAUGGAUACAGUUGACAGCCAGCCCUACUUUCUAACAGCCACAUUUUACAUAUGUCCCGCGAAGCCUCAUAAACCUGGCGGCUAGGAGUCCUAUUCCAUCUGACAGACCAGGAAGCGGAUGCCUUGAGAGAGGAAGUCACAUAGCUGACCCUGAAACUGGCAUCUCAAACACCCACCACUCCACAGGCUGAGCGGCUUAUAAACAACAGAAAUUUAUUUCUCACAGUUCUGGAGGCUGUAAGUCCAAGAUCAGCAUGUCAGUGUGGUCAGGUUCUGGGAGGACCUUCUUCCGGGUUGCAGACUGCCAUCUUAUCAUGUCCUCAUGGCAGAGGGAGGGCAAGAGAGCUCUUCUAAGGGCAGUAAUCCCAUUCAUGAGGGUUCUACCUGCCUGACAUAAUCAUCUCCCAGAGGGCCCACUUCCUGACACCAUCCCACUGGGAUUAGUGUUUCGACAUAUGAAUUUAGGGGUUGGGGAAGUAAACAUUUAGUCCAUA
RNAcentral lists this long non-coding RNA (1020 nucleotides) under Canis lupus familiaris (dog). Its description in RNAcentral is "lncRNA (ENSCAFG00030017033.1)". Lineage: Eukaryota; Metazoa; Chordata; Mammalia; Carnivora; Canidae. The record is from RNAcentral.